CCUACGGGUGGCAGCAGUGAGGAAUAUUGGUCAAUGGCCGGAAGGCUGAACCAGCCAAGCCGCGUGAAGGACGAAGGUGCCAAGCAUUGUAAACUUCUUUUGUCAAGGGACAAAAUCAGGCGCGAGAGCCUGACCGAGGGUACUUGAAGAAAAAGCAUCGGCUAACUCCGUGCCAGCAGCCGCGGUAAUACGGAGGAUGCGAGCGUUAUCCGGAUUUAUUGGGUUUAAAGGGUGCGUAGGCGGACUGUUAAGUCAGCGGUGAAAGCCCCGGGCUCAACCCGGGCGCGGCGGUGGAAACUGGCUGUCUUGAGUUGUCGAGAGGUAUGCGGAAUGCGCGGUGUAGCGGUGAAAUGCUUAGAGAUUGCGAAGAACUCCGAUGGCGAAGGCAGCAUACCGGAGGAGGACUGACGCUGAGGCGCGAAAGCGUGGGUAUCGAACAGGAUUAGAUACCCGGGUAGUC
RNAcentral lists this ribosomal RNA (460 nucleotides) under uncultured bacterium. RNAcentral's name for it is "partial 16S ribosomal RNA". It matches the Rfam family "Bacterial small subunit ribosomal RNA", at positions 338 to 795 of the family's 1533-position model. The record is from RNAcentral.